Molecule: ribosomal RNA, 448 nt
Filed under: uncultured bacterium
Lineage: Bacteria
Description: bacterial SSU rRNA
Rfam family: Bacterial small subunit ribosomal RNA
Source: RNAcentral
UUCCCAGACUCCUACGGGAGGCAGCAGUGGGGAAUAUUGCACAAUGGGGGAAACCCUGAUGCAGCGACGCCGCGUGAGUGAAGAAGUAUUUCGGUAUGUAAAGCUCUAUCAGCAGGGAAGAAAAUGACGGUACCUGAUUAAGAAGCCCCGGCUAACUACGUGCCAGCAGCCGCGGUAAUACGUAGGGGGCAAGCGUUAUCCGGAUUUACUGGGUGUAAAGGGAGCGUAGACGGUUGCGCAAGUCUGGAGUGAAAGGCGGGGGCCCAACCCCCGGACUGCUCUGGAAACUGUGUAACUGGAGUGCAGGAGAGGUAAGUGGAAUUCCUAGUGUAGCGGUGAAAUGCGUAGAUAUUAGGAGGAGCACCAGUGGCGAAGGCGGCUUACUGGACUGUAACUGACGUUGAGGCUCGAAAGCGUGGGGAGCAAACAGGAUUAGAUACCCGCGUAA